This 73-nucleotide transfer RNA is filed under the name Candidatus Woesearchaeota archaeon. RNAcentral describes it as "tRNA-Asn". It matches the Rfam family "tRNA". Rfam says of the family: Transfer RNA (tRNA) molecules are approximately 80 nucleotides in length. Lineage: Archaea; Nanobdellati; Candidatus Woesearchaeota. The record is from RNAcentral.
GCCUCCGUAGCUUAGCAGGUAGAGCGCACGACUGUUAAUCGUGAGGUCGGCAGUUCGAGUCUGCCCGGAGGCG